This 696-nucleotide ribosomal RNA is filed under the name Calonarius molochinus. RNAcentral's name for it is "eukaryotic LSU rRNA". The stretch from base 296 to 449 matches the Rfam family "5.8S ribosomal RNA". Lineage: Eukaryota; Fungi; Basidiomycota; Agaricomycetes; Agaricales; Cortinariaceae. The record is from RNAcentral.
GAAGUAAAAGUCGUAACAAGGUUUCCGUAGGUGAACCUGCGGAAGGAUCAUUAAUGAAAUAAACCUGAUAAGUUGCUGCUGGUUCUCUAGGGAGCAAUGUGCACACUUGUCAUCUUUGUAUCUUCACCUGUGCACCUUUUGUAGAUCUGACUAUCUCUCUGAAUGCUUUAUUAGUACUCAGGAUUGAGAAUUGACUUUUGUCUCUUCUUAUAUUUUCAGGUCUAUGUUUCUUCAUCUACCCCAAUGUAUGUUUAUAGAAUGUAAUUAAUGGGCCUUUGUGCCUAUAAACUUUUACAACUUUCAGCAACGGAUCUCUUGGCUCUCGCAUCGAUGAAGAACGCAGCGAAAUGCGAUAAGUAAUGUGAAUUGCAGAAUUCAGUGAAUCAUCGAAUCUUUGAACGCACCUUGCGCUCCUUGGUAUUCCGAGGAGCAUGCCUGUUUGAGUGUCAUUAAUAAUAUCAACCUUUUUGGUUGGAUUUGGGUUUGCUGGACUCUUGAGGUCAGCUCCCCUUAAAUGCAUUAGCGGACAACAUUUUGCUAUCUGUUCAUUAGUGUGAUAAUUAUCUACGCUAUUGAUGUGAAGGCAAGGUUCAGCUUCUAAUAGUCCAUUGACUUGGACAAGCCUCUUUUUAUUAAUGUGACCUCAAAUCAGGUAGGACUACCCGCUGAACUUAAGCAUAUCAAUAAGCGGAGGAA